RNAcentral lists this long non-coding RNA (862 nucleotides) under Pan troglodytes (chimpanzee). RNAcentral's name for it is "long non-coding RNA NONPTRT009940". Lineage: Eukaryota; Metazoa; Chordata; Mammalia; Primates; Hominidae. The record is from RNAcentral.
CUGAGCUGAAGCCAGGGUCAUGGGCCAGAAUGAACUAGCAUCUGAUCUGGAAUCUGCAGCCUUACACUCCUUGUGGCUUCCUGUCCUUCCUGUCCUUGAACUUCACUCUGUCCCAUAUGUACCAUGAGACUCCUUGGAACUCUCCACCACUUCUCCAGCCUCACCUGUCUAUGAUCCACCCCAUCUACCCUGGCCGUACCGGACAACUUUGAGUUCCCCAAAGAACCCUGUCGCCACUCAGGCCCUUACCUGGCUGUUUCCUUUCCUAGGGAUCCACCCUGUCUCCAUCCCUGGGAAGGUCUACUCCUCCUUCAAGACCCAGCUCAUGCAGUAGCCCCUGUGGGAAGCCUUUCUCAGUCUCCUCCUCACCCCACAUUUGGCUGUUGGGAAACCACUCCGCUUUGUACUUUCUGAUGCUGGAUUACAAAUGUGUCUAUCACUCCCCGGAAUUGAGUAUUGGCUCUGGAGGGCAGGAAUGAUGUGAUGUUCAUAUUUGUAUGAAGGCCAACAUAAGAUUAGAAGUUGGGCAAGGCACAGUGUGGAUGGUGGAUGGCUCACCUCUGCUCCAUGACAUCUGCAGCCCCAGAUGGGAAUAAUAAAAUGUUGGGAAGACAUCUUUCCUCUUCUACCCCACUCUCCCACCAGAAUCAUCAGGAGGCAUCUUUAUUUCUGUCUCAUGAUUAAUGGCAGCUGGGGCCUCAGCUGGGCUAUCAGCUGGAACAUCCCCCCACACACAGUGUUCUCUUCUCAUGGGCCAAUUUGAGCUUCCUCCCAGCAUGAUGGGCUCCAGGUUAAUAAGGCUAAAGUGUUAGCAUUUUUAUGACACAGUGCUAUGGAUUGAACAUCUCUCCCAAAAUUUCGU